Long non-coding RNA from Oncorhynchus gorbuscha (pink salmon), 1008 nucleotides. RefSeq lists it as uncharacterized. The record is from RefSeq and is a predicted model, not a curated record. The transcript has 3 exons. NCBI's taxonomy places the organism in Eukaryota, Metazoa, Chordata, Actinopteri, Salmoniformes, Salmonidae.
UUGUACACGAGUUCUUUUAUUUUGCUAUUGUCAACACUGAAAGCACCUAGCAAUGUAUUGAGGAUGUGAGACAGGAUAUGUGUUUUACAUUUCUUCAUGCUCCUAUGUAGAACAACUUGUCAGAUGGUGCAUUGGAGACUGAUGUGUUCCUGUUCUGUCUUUUCACAAUACUAUUGCAGGUAUGGUUCUAUUGUCUAGGAAUUAAGAUGAUACAUUCUCUGUAUUAAGGACUGGUUAUUAUUUUAUAGUAUGCAUUAUUGCUUUAUGUAUAAGUGUGAUUGUGUGAGUCUGAGAAAACACUGAGAGAGAAAGAACAACUUGUCAGAUGGUGCAUUGGAGACUGAUGUGUUCCUGUCCUGUCUUUUCACAAUACUAUUGCAGAUCAACAUAAAAUCCUGAAAGACAGCCGUGGUAUCGCUCUUCAUUUCUUGGUUCUCCUGUGGUACAUAAGAAACCCGCUACAUAAGCACGAUUGAAUAUAACAUCAUAAAAGAUCAGCCUCAAUUCGUUGGGGCAUGGAUUCUACAAAGGGUCAAAAGCAUUCCACUGGGGUGCUGGUCCAUAUACUGUACAUGAUUCAUCAAGCCCUUCUCUGCCAAGGCAGAGUUAGAGGAAGAUGGCCGUGACAAUUAAAUAAAUACGUGAAUGUCAUGCAACGUCAGACCGUCUAACACCAAUAUAACUUUUGUUGAGCAAGCAAAUAUCGCCAUCAAGUUGACAUACAUCAAUUCACUUUUAUUCAUUUACAUUAUUUCUACUAUAAUAUAACGCUCCAUAAUGAAUAUCUUAAUACUGCACUAUGGAUAUCAUUAUAUACCCUUAUUGAAGUCAUAAAAUGACUAAGCCUAGUUCAUACCCUUCGUGUGCAACACAAGAACGCUUCACAAAAUGCUGAUCCUGCGUUCUUUUGUAGAGCUUUUUUUGUGUAGCUGCUUGUAGUUAUUUCUUGUGUACGUAUGUAGGGUAUAAACUACACUUUAGUCCCAUGUCAUCAAAUGAAUACCUAAA